UGUUCCUACGGGAGGCAGCAGUGGGGAAUAUUGCACAAUGGGGGAAACCCCGAUGCAGCAACGCCGCGUGAGUGAUGACGGCCUUCGGGUUGUAAAGCUCUGUCUUCAGGGACGAUAAUGACGGUACCUGAGGAGGAAGCCACGGCUAACUACGUGCCAGCAGCCGCGGUAAUACGUAGGUGACGAGCGUUGUCCGGAUUUACUGGGCGUAAAGGGAGCGUAGGCGGAUUUUUAAGGGAGAUGUGAAAUAGUCGGGCUCAACUUGAGGGCUGCAUUUCAAACUGGAAGUCUAGAGGGC
This 298-nucleotide ribosomal RNA is filed under the name uncultured bacterium. Its description in RNAcentral is "partial 16S ribosomal RNA". It matches the Rfam family "Bacterial small subunit ribosomal RNA", at positions 334 to 649 of the family's 1533-position model. The record is from RNAcentral.